AGCUCUUAAUUUCUCUUAAUUCACGCAUAAAUCUUUUGCCUUUUAUUAACGAUUUCCACAGAGAGGAACAUCAAAGAGCUUGAUGUAGUUUCCUGAGCUUUGCUCUGGCAAAGCU
Molecule: small nuclear RNA, 115 nt
Organism: Hemibagrus wyckioides
Lineage: Eukaryota; Metazoa; Chordata; Actinopteri; Siluriformes; Bagridae
Product: U5 spliceosomal RNA
Exons: 1
Source: RefSeq, a predicted model, not a curated record